Molecule: ribosomal RNA, 236 nt
Filed under: uncultured bacterium
Lineage: Bacteria
Description: partial 16S ribosomal RNA
Rfam family: Bacterial small subunit ribosomal RNA
Source: RNAcentral
CGGGACGGGUGGAAGUAAGUGUCGUAGGGAAAUGCCGAUGGAGGGGGAUAACUACUGGAAACGGUAGCUAAUACCGCAUAACGUCGCAAGACCAAAGAGGGGGACCUUCGGGCCUCUUGCCAUCGGAUGUGCCCAGAUGGGAUUAGCUAGUAGGUGGGGUAACGGCUCACCUAGGCGACGAUCCCUAGCUGGUCUGAGAGGAUGACCAGCCACACUGGAACUGAGACACGGUCCAG